Molecule: non-coding RNA, 67 nt
Organism: Ictidomys tridecemlineatus (thirteen-lined ground squirrel)
Lineage: Eukaryota; Metazoa; Chordata; Mammalia; Rodentia; Sciuridae
Source: Rfam
GAUAUAGCUCAGUGGCACAGCACUGACCUAGUAAGUUUGAGACCCUGGGUUCAAUACCCAGGUAUCA